AACGAACACUGGCGGCGUGGAUUAGGCAUGCAAGUCGAGCGGGAUCCUGAUGUUUCAAUUCUUCGGAAAAGAAACAUUGGGUGAGAGCGGCGAACGGGUGAGUAAUAUAUGGGUAAUUUGCCUUAAAGCCCGGGAUAGCCACUCGAAAGGGUGGGUAAUACCGGAUGUGCUCGGGUGCCACAUGGCACCUUAUGUGAAGGCGGGGAUCUUCGGACCUGCCACUUUAAGAUGAGCCCAUAUCCUAUCAGCUAGUUGGUAAGGUAAUGGCUUACCAAGGCUUACGGGUAGCUGGUCUGAGAGGACGACCAGCCACACUGGGACUGAGACACUGCCCAGACUCCUACGGGAGGCUGCAGUCGAGAAUAUUUGUCAAUGUACGAAAGUAUGAACAUGCGACGCCGCGUGGAGGACGAAGGCCUUCGGGUUGUAAACUCCUGUCAUGAGGGAAUAAGUGUGUGUCGGCUAAUACCCGGCGCACUUGACAGUACCUCAGAGA
This 496-nucleotide ribosomal RNA is filed under the name uncultured bacterium. RNAcentral describes it as "bacterial SSU rRNA". It matches the Rfam family "Bacterial small subunit ribosomal RNA", at positions 29 to 486 of the family's 1533-position model. The record is from RNAcentral.